RNAcentral lists this ribosomal RNA (370 nucleotides) under Brevundimonas sp. RNAcentral's name for it is "partial 23S ribosomal RNA". It matches the Rfam family "Bacterial large subunit ribosomal RNA", at positions 2556 to 2925 of the family's 2925-position model. Lineage: Bacteria; Pseudomonadati; Pseudomonadota; Alphaproteobacteria; Caulobacterales; Caulobacteraceae. The record is from RNAcentral.
UAGCAGGUCCCAAGGGUUGGGCUGUUCGCCCAUUAAAGCGGCACGCGAGCUGGGUUUAGAACGUCGUGAGACAGUUCGGUCCCUAUCCGCCGCGCGCGUAGGAAACUUGAGAAAGGCUGCCCCUAGUACGAGAGGACCGGGGUGGACGAACCUCUGGUGUGCCAGUUGUUCUGCCAAGAGCACGGCUGGUUGGCUACGUUCGGAAGUGAUAACCGCUGAAAGCAUCUAAGCGGGAAGCAUGUUUCAAGAUGAGGUUUCCCACUGGUUAACCAGGUAAGGCCCCCAGCAGACCACUGGGUUGAUAGGCCGGAAGUAGAAGUGUGGCAACACAUGGAGCUGACCGGUACUAAUAGGCCGAGGGCUUGUUUCU